AGCCAAAUCCUAGCCCAACCGCAUCUUGCCUGAAAAAACUAAAAAUUCACUCCUUUAUCAAAUUAAAACAUUUACCAAAACCCAGUAUAGGUGAUAGAAAAGAAUUCCCCGGAGCAAUAGAACCCUGUACCGUAAGGGAAAGAUGAAAUAAUAAUGAAAACCCAAGCAUAAAAUAGCAAAGAUAAAUCCUUGUACCUUUUGCAUCAUGAUUUAGCUAGAACAACCAAGCAAAACGAAUUUAAGCUUGCCCUCCCGAAACUCAAGCGAGCUACUUACAAGCAGCUAUUUAUGAGCAAACCCGUCUCUGUUGCAAAAGAGUGGGACGACUUGUUAGUAGAGGUGAAAAGCCAAUCGAGCUGAGUGAUAGCUGGUUGCCUGUGAAAUGAACCUAAGUUCUCUUUUGACUCUCUUUCCCCCCAGACCCCCAUGCUUAUAUGUGAUAAGUCAAAAGUCAUUUAAAGGGGGAACAGCCCCUUUAAACCAGAAAACAAUCUCCUCUAGUGGAUAAUCCUCUAACCUACAUUCACUGUGGGCCCUCAAGCAGCCACCAACAAAGAGUGCGUCAAAGCUCAACCUAAAAACCCCAAAACAAUGUGAAUCCCUUCCCACUAACAGGCCAACCUAUGUUAAUAGAAGAAUUUAUGCUAAAAUAAGUAACUCGGGCCCUCCCCUCUCAGGCGCAAGCUUACAUCACCAUAUUAUUACCAGACCAUAGCUAAUACUACAACUCCAACAAGACCAAAUAUUAAAUGCUCUGUUAACCCAACCCAGGUGCGCCAAAUUAGAAAGAUUAAAAUCUGCAAAAGGAACUAGGCAAACCCAAGAUCCGACUGUUUACCAAAAACAUAGCCUCUAGCCCACCAAGUAUUAGAGGUGAUGCCUGCCCAGUGACGAAACGUUUAACGGCCGCGGUAUCCUAACCGUGCAAAGGUAGCACAAUCAAUUGUCUCAUAAAUCGGGACCUGUAUGAAUGGCUAAACGAGAUCUUAACUGUCUCUUGCAGAUAAUCAGUGAAAUUGAUCCCCCUGUGCAAAAGCAGGAAUAAGCCCAUAAGACGAGAAGACCCUGUGGAACUUAAAAAUCACCGACCACUAUAAACAAAACUCACGCCUACCUAUAGGCUUAUUCUCCUAAAUACUGGUCCACAUUUUUUGGUUGGGGCGACCUUGGAGAAAACAAAACCUCCAAAAAUAAGACUUCACCUCUUAACUAAGAGCAACCACUCAACGUACUAACAGUAACCAGACCCAGUACAACUGAGCAAUGGACCAAGCUACCCCAGGGAUAACAGCGCAAUCCCCUCCAAGAGCCCAUAUCGACGAGGAGGUUUACGACCUCGAUGUUGGAUCAGGACAUCCUAAUGGUGCAGCCGCUAUUAAGGGUUCGUUUGUUCAACGAUUAACAGUCCUACGUGAUCUGAGUUCAGACCGGAGUAAUCCAGGUCGGUUUCUAUCUAUGAUAUACUUUCUCUAGUACGAAAGGAUCGAGAAAGUGAGGCCAAUCCUCCAGGAAUGCCUUACCCCUAAGUAAUGAAAACAACUAAACUACUACAAGGGAUACAACCAAACUAAACUCCUAAAAAAGGACCG
This 1589-nucleotide ribosomal RNA is filed under the name Geococcyx californianus (greater roadrunner). RNAcentral describes it as "16S ribosomal RNA". It matches the Rfam family "Bacterial large subunit ribosomal RNA", at positions 425 to 2831 of the family's 2925-position model. Lineage: Eukaryota; Metazoa; Chordata; Aves; Cuculiformes; Neomorphidae. The record is from RNAcentral.